This 92-nucleotide ribosomal RNA is filed under the name Siganus javus (streaked spinefoot). RNAcentral describes it as "partial 5.8S rRNA". It matches the Rfam family "5.8S ribosomal RNA", at positions 1 to 92 of the family's 154-position model. From Rfam's summary of the family: 5.8S ribosomal RNA (5.8S rRNA) is a component of the large subunit of the eukaryotic ribosome. It is transcribed by RNA polymerase I as part of the 45S precursor that also contains 18S and 28S rRNA. Functionally, it is thought that 5.8S rRNA may be involved in ribosome translocation. The record is from RNAcentral. Lineage: Eukaryota; Metazoa; Chordata; Actinopteri; Siganidae.
CAACUCUUAGCGGUGGAUCACUUGGCUCGUGCGACGAUGAAGAACGCAGCUAGCUGCGAGAAUUAAUGUGAAUUGCAGGACACAUUGAUCAU